RNAcentral lists this ribosomal RNA (479 nucleotides) under Madascincus minutus. Its description in RNAcentral is "partial 16S ribosomal RNA". It matches the Rfam family "Bacterial large subunit ribosomal RNA", at positions 1929 to 2597 of the family's 2925-position model. The record is from RNAcentral. Lineage: Eukaryota; Metazoa; Chordata; Lepidosauria; Squamata; Scincidae.
GGCCGCGGUAUUCUAACCGUGCAAAGGUAGCGUAAUCAUUUGUCUCCCAAAUAGAGACCAGUAUGAAUGGCUAAAUGAGGACAAACCUGUCUCUUAUGACUAAUCAGUGAAACUGAUCUUCCAGUACAAAAGCUGGGAUAUAACCAUUAGACGAGAAGACCCCGUGGAGCUUCAAACCUACUAUUAAAAGGCAUUAAAUCAACUGCACCUGAUACGCGGUUUUAAGUUGGGGCGACUUCGGAACAAAGCAAAACUUCCGAGCACAGAACCAUAAAUUCUGAUAAAGGCCCACCAGCCACAAUCAAGAUUCACCAGACCCAGUACCACUGAUAAACGAACCAAGUUACCCCGGGGAUAACAGCGCUAUCUUCUUCAAGAGUCCAUAUCGACAAGAAGGUUUACGACCUCGAUGUUGGAUCAGGACACCCAAAUGGUGCAGCCGCUAUUAAAGGUUCGUUUGUUCAACGAUUAACAGUCCU